CUAAAACUGAUCCGCUCCUUGUUUGGAGACUGAAACAGUCUUUGUAAGACAAUGAAAGGUCACAAGAUUAGUAUUCUGAGAGGGGCCUGAAUUCUGCUAAAAUGUUGCUAACUUUGGAGGAAGCCAGCUGCCAUGUCACAAAAAGAUUCAGGAAGCCAUGUGGAGAGGCCCACAUCAUGAGGAACUGAGGUCUUUGCCAAUUACCAGCAAGGAAAUGAGGCCUCCUGCCAACAGCCACGUGAGUAUCCUACCUUGGAAAUGGACCCUCUAACUUCAAUCAGCCUUCAAAUAACUGCAGCCCCAGUUGAUGGCUUGACUGCAACCUUAGGAGAAACCCUGAGCCAAAAACAUUGAGG
RNAcentral lists this long non-coding RNA (356 nucleotides) under Homo sapiens (human). RNAcentral's name for it is "non-protein coding LINC01374:19". The record is from RNAcentral. Lineage: Eukaryota; Metazoa; Chordata; Mammalia; Primates; Hominidae.